UACGGGGGGAGCAAGCGUUGUUCGGAUUUACUGGGCGUAAAGGGCGCGUAGGCGGCCACCGCAAGUCGACUGUGAAAUCUCCGGGCUUAACCCGGAAAGGUCAGCCGAUACUGCGGGGCUAGAGUGCAGAAGGGGCAACUGGAAUUCUCGGUGUAGCGGUGAAAUGCGUAGAUAUCGAGAGGAACACCUGCGGCGAAGGCGGGUUGCUGGGCCUACACUGACGCUGAGGCGCGAAAGCUAGGGGAGCGAACGGG
Molecule: ribosomal RNA, 254 nt
Filed under: uncultured bacterium
Lineage: Bacteria
Description: partial 16S ribosomal RNA
Rfam family: Bacterial small subunit ribosomal RNA
Source: RNAcentral